GCUCACUGGAUGGCUUCUUGUUUGGUAACAAAGGAAAACUGGGGUUUGACAAGCUCAGUAAGAUAGCGAUCCAAACGGCAAAGGGCGUAGCAUACCUUCACGAGGAAUGCCAGGAUCGGAUAAUUCACUAUGAUAUAAAACCUGGCAAUAUUUUGCUCGAUCGGAACUUCUCCCCAAAAGUUGCAGAUUUCGGAUUGGCAAAGCUCUGCAAUAGGAAUGCCACCCAUGUCACCAUGACAGGAUGCAGAGGGACUCCGGGCUACGCGGCUCCCGAGCUAUGGAUGCCAUUUCCUGUUACUCAUAAGUGUGAUGUUUAUAGUUAUGGGAUGUUAUUGUUUGAGAUUGCAGGGAGGAGGAGGAAUUUGAAGGUGAGCCUUCUUGAGAGCCACCAAUGGUUUCCUAGAUGGGUUUGGAGCAAAUUGGAGAGAGAUGAGAUGGAAGAGAUUGUGAAGAGUUGUGAGAUCGAGGAGGAGGAGGAUAGGGAAAUUCUCGAGAGAAUGAUCCUGAUUGCUGUUUGGUGUGUUCAAUACCAGCCUGAAUUGAGGCCAUGUAUGAGCACUGUGGUAAAGAUGUUGGAAGGAGACGGUAAGAUCGCUCUUCCACCAAACCCUUUCUCUCAUUUGGUUGUUAGGCCAUCUGUCAUGGUUUCACAGCAAUUUGGAGAGACAACUGAAGGAGAAACUACUGUGGAUUCACAACAAUUUGGCGGGGCGAUUGAAAAGGAACCAUAUUCUGAGACUACCCCCAUCAUGAGGAAGUUUGAGAUAACUGUUGCUUCUUCAUAAAAGCAUUGGUCAUUGUAUAUCCUUCCCUUGAAGAAAUUAAAAAAAAAAUUACUGCAUGUGAUACAAUUAUUUUUUUAUUAUUAGAUCACAUGCAGCUUCGCAAUGAGUGCUUCAAAUUUUGAUUUUAGAGAAUAUUUCUAGGGUGUGUUCUCUCUUUGGUGCUUUUGCUAGGUAGAUUGGAGCUUGUUCUUUCCUUCUGUUGUUUUUUUUCAUGGUACUCUACUUUUAUUUUUAUUUUUAUUUUCGGGUAGUUCAGUAGUAGGAAUCAUAUUUGAGAUGUAGAAUUGCUAAAAAAAAUAAAAAAUAUUCCUAGGCUUGGGACCAGUAUGAGGUAGAUCUUGAUGGAUAUCUGCCCAACAGAUACAAUCUGCAUACAUGCAUAUUUAAUCAUUUCUUAUAUGCAAUGCUUACCCCAUAGAAAUCAAUGAAAGAACAUAAUUUAUUUGGUCUCUGAUUGGAGCCAAGUCCAAAAAGAUACACAUAUUGCCAAAACUUUUCUUUUUCUGAGAAAUUGUAUUCAAAUCUUCAUCAACUUAACCAAACAAGCCCAAGCUUCUCAAUAUAUAUAAUUACAAAAAUAAAGAAAUCUAAAAAAUUGACAAGGGGAAUAUAGAAAACCAGAAAGGUCUUAUGUAAGUGGUACUAGAUAACAAAUAUAUUAUCUAUGAAGUUCAAAACAUAUAAAGUUCAAAAUAUUACCAUGAACUAGAAACAAAUUGAUAAUUACCCAAAAAAAAAAAAAAACUAGAAAUAAAAUGAUUAAUGGGAUGAAUAGUUAGGAGCUUUGGAACAUAAUGAGUAUUGGAUUGAAUGAGAAAAUCCCAAGAAACUUGCCAAGAUAAAUACUUCUCUAAGGAAAUGACAAAGGCAAACUAAUCCUUUCCCACAAUUCUUUCUCCAUAAAAUAUUUCCCAUUUGUGCUCGUCAAAGAUAGAUUUGUGUCAUGGGCUCUGUUUUUUUCUCUUGCUUUCUACCCUUUGGGGGCCAUUCUCUUCUAACAUUUUUUUUUUUUUUUUUGGAAAAUAGAUAUGGUUUCUUUUUUUCUCUUGUUUUCCCUCCCUCUUGGUCUCUCUCUCUCAAAAAUCCACAUCGAAUACAUAAAAUAUAUUCGAUUUCUAUCAAAUAAUUUAUUCAUUUUUAAGCUUGAUCACUAUGAACUAAUUUUAAAGAGACAUGGAGAGAUAUCAAAAAAAAAAAAGAGGAAAAAAAAAGGGGCUCCAACAAAGAGUUAGAAUAUAUUAUCGGACCAGACCGCCAUGGAAUAUUUCGAGCAUUUUUGGGUCUCAAGCUCAUGCCAGGCCAAGCCCGGCCAGGUGGCAGCCCUAAUUGGAAUCUUAAAUGUUCUGUUAUGCUUAGGCAUUUGAUAUGAAUCGAUUUCCCUUACUAUUAGAUGGAUUUCGGGCACUGUGAUGGAGGAGCAACCACAUAUUGCUCUCCACAAUUCUCCCCCUCAACACUGAGUUGCUCCGAUCUUCAUUUAUUCUUUGCUUUUUCUUCUUUUUCUUUUUCAUUUUUUUCUUGUUCUUCUUAGAGACAUCAAUGUCUUCUCUCAUUGCAGCUUUCCAUUCGGCAAUUCCCUUUGUCUCAUCAAACAAGUUUGGUUCUUUCAUUUUAAAAAUGCUUGAUGUAUCACACUGCCCAAUUGGCAUUUCUUGUUUAUAGGCGGCUUCUAUGCAGUUAGGAUUUGGUUUCCGAAUUGGUGAAGACCUUUGCAGUUGUACUGUGUUGUCCUCACCUUCUUUAAUAUCUUCUAGUUGUGACAGUUGCAACUCCUCUAGUGUAAGAGUAACCUGCGACUCAUUUUUCGCAUCAUCACCCAACUUCAUGGGUGACAAUUGUUGCUACUCAACACCAUUAACAUAACCAUCACGAACAUUGUUUUUUGAGACCUUAUUGGUUACUUGAUCAAUGAUGUCAUUUCGGACCCACGUGCAAGUCUUGCAAACGAAUUGUUGUCCAUUUGUUGCCCUUGCAUGAUCAAGUCACUUUUGGUUUUCACCUUCUCAAACACUUUGACAUCAUCGGGAACAUGAUGCACGUCUUCUCCCGUAUGAGGCUCGAUUUCAUCUGAAACAUGAUGCACAUCUUCUCCCGUAUGAGGCUCGAUUUCAUCCACCUUAGACGUGGUAAGAGCAAAGGAUUUCUCUCCCUCAUGGUUAACUUCGAUUGAGGUUGUGUCCACGACCUGUGCAAACCCGUCUUGCACAUCCCAGUCAUUGUUAUUGUCCUGCGACUUUAGUUGUGCAUGUCAUCCACAAGUUCCUCAGAUUCCUCCAAUCGUCUGAGCUUGACUGACUGAUCACCAAGUAACUGCUCUCUCUUGGCUUCUUGCAUUGUCCAAUCGAUAAUCAGCCAAUUCCGAACUCAUCAGUUUGGUCACUUCAACUAUUGCAAAAGAUGCCUCAUCAUCCCAUUCUUCCUCGAUCUCGAACUGGUGACUUGUCGCGGUCAUCAUAUUUCCCUCAGCUAGCCUCCUUUUCUUUAACCAGUGGUCACAAACAAUGUGGCCAUUUUUGCCACAGUCGUAGCACUCGAUGCCUCGUCAAGAUCUCCAUGGUCGCCGGUCUGCGUCAGUAUUGCCUUGUUUAGCUUCCCUUGGUUGGAAGCCCUCUCUCCUUCAGUUGAUCUUGGCAGUCUCUACUUUGUUCGUGCGAAGAGCGCCUCCUCUUCAUCUUUCAUGGAUAUAUCGGCCAUUCGUCGGGCCAACAUCUCUUGGUUCGCCAGCAGACUUUCUAACUCCAUAAGAGUUGGAUGUGUCAGUCUUCCUCUGAUGGCCGACACGAACCCAUUGUAUUCGGGUCUCAAGCCUUUGAUGAUGAUACAUCUCAUUCUAAUAUCACUAAUCUGAGAUUCCGGAUCGAGUUUUGAAAUCUCAUGGCAGGGAGAUUUCACCUUUAUGAAGGUCUACAUCAUUGUCCCUUAUGACACCGAUCCAAGCUCGUUUUCCAAAAAUUGGAGUCGAGCAUCACUUGUCUUGUCAAUUCGGAGUGGUGGAGUCUUGAAUUUGGUCCAACAGUUCCUUUUGAAUUGUUAUCUUUAACGCGAACAUGGCCUUGAUGCUUCAUCGUUGUAGUGCUUUGGCAUUCUCUUUUGCAGGUGGUAUGGUUUUGCUGCCACCGACGACCUCACAGAGGUCCUAUCGUUGUAGGUAUGAUUCCAUAUACGACCGCCAGUCGUCGUAGUUGUAGUGGUUCAGCUUCUCGACCCAUCCAGAUGCAUUUGCUAGGUCCACCACGUCAAUCCCAACACCUAGAAGCUCAGUGAUCGGCUUCACAGUAUCUCGUUGCUCACGUACACCAUGAUUGGUGUGAUCCUACUUUGAUCUCAACACCUAGAAACGCAGUCCCUAACUGAUCGGCAUCACCCUUUUAACUGCUCACUUACAAUGCCCCUGACCAAAUCCGCUUUUAUACCAAUUGUAGAGUUUUGCAUAAACUCUGGUACCAAUUGUAAAAAUCCAACACAGCAACUAAGGGAGAGAACCAUUUUCUUUUAUUAUUAAAAAAACAUUGACCACCCAAAAUAUACUCCCUAAAACUCGCAUGCUCAACCCCUUACUACAACUCCCACAAUUUGUAUUCUUUUUCUUUUACACACCAAAAAUAAAGCACACCCAAGCUCUAUUUAUAAGAUUUGUGAAUGGCCGGCCCUUCCAAAAGGCUCACAAUGAUCAAUAAAGGGCGCCAUCCUUGAGAAUAUUCCAGAGAGAGGAGGAGGAGGGCGAGAAGAGUUGGGAGGAGAAUCCUUGAGUGUUGUCACUUCACUUCACUCGAGUUGCAGAUAUUAUAUUCUUUUUUGUCUCUUAAAAUUUUAAGGUCCUAAAACUUACUCCCAAAGCAAAUAUCAUCUUUUUCAACUCUACAUAGUCAAAGUUGGCAGCUGAGAGCACAAAUGCAUUUUGUGACCCAACUCUACAUAGUCAAAGUUGGUGGCUGAGAGCACAAAUGCAUUUUGUGACCCAAUCAAUAAUGAAGCUUGGAAACGGUAGAGAUCGAGAGCGAGGCUAAAAAAACCAGCUUCAACCAUAACAAUCCACAAUCCACACUUAGUUUUCUGUUUUCUCUGAUCAUCACUCCAGGCAAAGGAAUGGAUUCAACAAAUACAGGGUCAUCUUCUCAAGAUUUUUGGGGAGCCAUGCCAACCUUUGCUAAAGUCUUUUUGAUCGCCAUUGGUAAGCUUUUGAUUUCUGUUAAGCAGUGUUGUGUUUGCCGACCUGAAAACUCGACGAGAUCCUAAAGGCUCCCCGGUCAUGUUGACCUGGGAACCUAUGGGAUCAACCCGACGGGGCCUUAGGAGAAAUUAAAAAGCAAUCAUGACCGGAAUGAAACUCGUUAAAAGUGAUCGGAUCUUGGUUAAAACUCGAUAAACAUGGUUGGAUUUGUUAGAACCUAGAACCUGAUCCCUUUUGGGUUUGGAUAUGUAACCAGGCACCAUUGGCUUCAGAUUGUCAACCCAAUCUGAAGCCACCCGGUUACACACCCAAACCCGAAAAGGGGCAAAUCUUGUAACAAGACCUGUAAACAAUUCUCUUAGAUUACAUCCCCUAUGUUGUUUGUAUGGGUGGGUGUGUGAGAGAGUUUUUAUUUCUACUUUUUGUUGAAGGAUUUCUAUGAUCACAUUCUCCAUAAAAUAAAAAAUACUCUAUUUGGGAUUCUCAUACGUGAGAAUUUUUCCAUCUUUCAGUUUCCGGUAUGGGUCUUUCAAUUCUUUUUGCCAUCAUUCGGUUCAUCAAGAAGAGCACUAAGAUCUCAAACAUCGAAAUCGAAGGAGUGGGCAAUGGACCUCCCCUAAUUGUCGAACUCAUGGACAAUAUGGAGAAGCUCAAGCCCACAAGGUUCACCUCUCGCCAACUCAAGGCUGCAACCUUAAACUUCACCCAUAAGUUAGGUGCGGGUGGUUAUGGUGAGGUCUAUAAGGGCACUCUCGCAAACGGGGAUAGUGUGGCUGUAAAAGUCCUAAAGGGAAGCUCGGACGAACAAAUUGAAGCUCAAUUCAUAGCGGAGGUGAGCACCAUAGGAAGAACCCACCAUGUUAAUUUAGUCAGGCUCAUUGGCUUUUGCUUUGAAAAUACCAUGAGGGCUUUGGUUUAUGAGCAUGUGGAGAGGGGCUCACUGGAUGGCUUCUUGUUUGGUAACAAAGGAAAACUGGGGUUUGACAAGCUCAGUAAGAUAGCGAUCCAAACGGCAAAGGGCGUAGCAUACCUUCACGAGGAAUGCCAGGAUCGGAUAAUUCACUAUGAUAUAAAACCUGGCAAUAUUUUGCUCGAUCGGAACUUCUCCCCAAAAGUUGCAGAUUUCGGAUUGGCAAAGCUCUGCAAUAGGAAUGCCACCCAUGUCACCAUG
This 6127-nucleotide long non-coding RNA is filed under the name Amborella trichopoda. RNAcentral describes it as "long non-coding RNA (ATRI_LNC002988)". Lineage: Eukaryota; Viridiplantae; Streptophyta; Magnoliopsida; Amborellales; Amborellaceae. The record is from RNAcentral.